This 205-nucleotide small nuclear RNA is filed under the name Echeneis naucrates (live sharksucker). RNAcentral's name for it is "U2 spliceosomal RNA (ENSENLG00000000223.1)". The stretch from base 23 to 205 matches the Rfam family "U2 spliceosomal RNA". From Rfam's summary of the family: U2 is a small nuclear RNA (snRNA) component of the spliceosome (involved in pre-mRNA splicing). Complementary binding between U2 snRNA (in an area lying towards the 5' end but 3' to hairpin I) and the branchpoint sequence (BPS) of the intron results the bulging out of an unpaired adenosine, on the BPS, which initiates a nucleophilic attack at the intronic 5' splice site, thus starting the first of two transesterification reactions that mediate splicing. The record is from RNAcentral. Lineage: Eukaryota; Metazoa; Chordata; Actinopteri; Carangiformes; Echeneidae.
AGCGCUGCCCCAACAAGUAGCACUUACUGAAUUCAACAGUCAAGUCAGUGCUCAAGUUAAAGUAACAUUAAUAUCUGAUACGUCCACUACCCGGGGACCAUAUAUUAAAUAGAUUUUUGGAACAGGGAGAUGGAACAGGGGCUUGCUCCGUCCACUCCACGCAUCGACCUGGUAUUGCAGUAUCUCCAGGAACGGUGCACUCCCU